This is a non-coding RNA of Myotis brandtii (Brandt's bat), 73 nucleotides long. The record is from Rfam. Lineage: Eukaryota; Metazoa; Chordata; Mammalia; Chiroptera; Vespertilionidae.
AGCAGUUCUUAGGUGAUGCACCCUGGAAUCGGGCUCCCAGCUCUCUGGUUCCAGGGAGCAUCAGAGAACCACC